GCUGCUGAUGCUGCUGUUCUGGCUCCAUGCUUUCAGAGCCACAGAGCUCAUUGUGCGUUCCUUUCCCUCUGGUAUAAUGCCCACUUAGUACUGAAGAAAAAUACAUAAAAUCCCAACUUAAAAACAUAGAGUAAUCCAAACCUUUGUUAAAAAGGUUUAUUGAAAACCUGGGACUCAUUUUUCUCCCAGAGGAAGUACAUAUUAAUUGUCUAGCUCACAAAAUUUAUUUGAGUCUGUUUGCAAGGAAAAGCUGACCAAAAAAACUUAUCGUGGUGGAGUAGUUGAAACAGAAAAACAGUGUACUUGUAGAGGGAAAAAAAACAGUAUUUGUGUAUAUUUAAUCUUGAGAACUGAUGCUUCAGGACAAGUAGCCGGAAGGGGACAAGAGGCCAGGUAGACACUUAGGAGGUUCCCGAAGGUCCUGGGGUGCUUCUGAAAUUCCAAAGAUGUUUAAAUUUGCUGGCAGUGGUUCUUAUCUUUAAUUUUACUUCCAAAUUUGAGGAUUUUCUCUUCUUUGAUGCAAGUGUCUUGAUAGGGUCACUUUUAAUGCUCAGUAGAGGUAUUCAUGGUAAUAUUUUUUUAAUCAGAGGAAUGCAGAGAGGAGGAAGGGGUUUCUGUGAGACGGCUUACCGCUUGGGGCAGGAGAAGGUGGGAAGAGAUGAGAGUGUGGGAAAGAUGCUCCUGAGGUGAAGCGAUCUGAACUAUGAGUGUGGGGGAGGAGGUGGGGAGAGAUGUGGGAAUGGGGGAAAAAUGAGAAAUAAGGAAAAGAAAGGCCAAAGCGAAGCUUUGAGCUCCUCGGAGGUGUUCUGUUAACUUUGUCUUUGACCCAAAACAGGAAUCUUCAGGAGAAAGAAUGGGUGAUUGAUGCAUCAUACUGGCCGUCAAAUGUGUUCCUAUAAAUGCAAGUUGAGUUGUUUUGAAGAGAGGGAUAUAGGAAUAUGAGAGGCUGUAAAAUCAGCCACAUUUAGAUCUGUGGAACAUUUACUGGAUGUCUGCAUAUAUUGCCAUAAAUUACUUCAGUGAAAAGAAUGGCGCUUCAGCCUUUUCUCUUGGUUUCUAAACUUUGUCUCAGAAUGCCUGUCAAGUGGACUCUUGCCUUAUUGAUGUGGAUAACUGUACCUCCUGUUCUUUUUUCAACAGAUUCUACAAAGUUAUCUUUUUUAAAAUAAUAAUUCAUCAUAUGUACUUAAUGUAAAUUUGAGUCUCAGGUAAAGGACCAAUGUAAACACAGUAAAGGAUUUUGUAAGUCCUGCUUUAAACCAAGUUUCAGUUCAUGUAAACAUCCUACACUCAGCUGUACUACAUGAAUUGGCUGGGAGGUGGAUGUUUACUUCAACUGACUUGGAAUAUCAGCCGUUAACCUAGAGUAGAGGAUUUGGCAAGAAUAGUAUGCAGAGGCUUGAUUUUUAAUGUAAUUACUGUAAAUUUAAAUUACUGUCAUAUCUUUUCACUUGUUUUAUUGUAUCUCUAACAUGGCAUGAGACUCUGAGUAUUGGGACAAAAGAAUGUCCUUUGUUGAGUGGGGUCAGAUUCGUAGGCAUUGCAGUGUGCUUUGACGUCAUACAUUUGUACCUGUCUGGGCUCUACCAGUGAAUUCACUAUGUGAUUUGGAGGAGGGAAAGCCACUGUUUCACACCUCGGUGCUUUUCUCAUCUGCAAAAUAGGUAUGGUAUGCACUUGACAGGAUUGUUGUAAUGAUUGACCUAGACGAUGAAUGUAAAGUGGGUCAUUAGUCAGUGCUUGUCACAUUGAGUACUCAGUAAAUGCUGAAACACUAACUGUUAUUAAUGCUCGCCACAAUGCCUCAUCAUAGUAUGUAGCAUAUUUUAGGUGUUCAAUAAAUAACUGCUGUGACUUUUAAACUGGACAUAAGUUGUUUUUAUUUUAGCCACCAAUUUUCUGGCUUAAUGGAAAUGGUUUGAAUCUUUGAUAUCACUGUAAUUCAGUGGCAAAGAAUUUUGAAGCCCAGCUUCUUGAACUCACGUCCUUACCAAGCCACUUACUAGCUUCGUUACUUUAGGGAAGUUAUUACACUCCCAGUGCCUUAGUUUCCUCAGUCUUCUAAACUGGGAUAUAACAGUACCUACCUAAUAAGAUUGUUAGGAGAUAAAAUGAGCCAAUACCAGUCAAGUAUUGGAACAGUUCCUGGUACACACUAAGCUCUUGAUAAAUGGCAGCUAUUGUUGUUAUUAUUUUAAAAACAUGUUCGUCACGUGUUAUUUUUUCCCAGGGUAUAGUUGUGCCAUACAUUUCAAAAUAAAGAGAAGCUCACACUUGAUAAUUAGUUCUAGAUAUGUACUGUUUGGUUUAAAUGAUGCUUUCAUAUUUCAUGCUUUUAUUGAGAAUACUCUACUUAAAAUUAAUUUUCUGUCACUUUGUUUUUCAAGUCCAUGAGAUCAACUUUAAGUUUUCAUUUUUUUGGUGACACGUUCGCGUUCUGUAUAGGUGAAAAACAGAACCACCACCACAAAACCAAAAUUACUUAAGAAGUACACUUUAUUCUAGCAGCUUGGCAAGUGUCCCUAAACUCGUCUAUGCCUGAAUCCAGAAGUAGAAUUCACAUUCGAUGCGUCUCCUAUGGAAGAUGUCUACGUGUUAUGAGAAAUUCACGAUUAAAUAAAAAUGUGUAAUAAAGGCCUGGAGACUUGUUCUUAAAAAAGAUUGGCCCGGAGCUACGAUCUGUUCCCAGUCUUCUGCUGUUUCCUUCAAGAAGAUUGUCACUGAGCUAACAUCUGUGCCAGUCUUCCUCUACUUUGAAUGUGGAACCCCACCGUAGCAUGGCUUGAUGAGCCAUGUGUAGGUACGUGCCCAGGAUCCAAACCUGCCUACCCUGGGCCAGCAAAGCAGAGCAUGUGAACUUAACCACUGUGCCACUGGGCCCCUAGGGCUUUUUAAUUCAUUGCUCUUUUUUCUUUUGUUUAAUGGUCAUGUGUUUAUAUCUUUGUGUUACAUACUUUCCUGAUUAUAUACUGGGAUCCUUGCUUUGCUGCACUUUGUCACUUAGAAAAAGCUCAACAUGAAAGUUGAAUUGUAGUUAAAUGAAAAUUUGAGUAUUUAUCUUGUUUUAAUUAAUACAAUGAAAUAUUGUAAGUUAUACUGAACUGUCCCCCACCCUGAUAGGAAAAUAUAUGCCUGGAUUUCUUUAAAAACUGUGCAUUUAUGGGGCUGGCCCCGUGGCCGAGUGGUUAAGUUCGCGCGCUCCGCUGCAG
RNAcentral lists this long non-coding RNA (3209 nucleotides) under Equus asinus (donkey). Its description in RNAcentral is "lncRNA (ENSEASG00005037955.1)". The stretch from base 1267 to 1340 matches the Rfam family "mir-30 microRNA precursor family". Lineage: Eukaryota; Metazoa; Chordata; Mammalia; Perissodactyla; Equidae. The record is from RNAcentral.